UACGUAGGGGGCAAGCGUUGUCCGGAUUUAUUGGGCGUAAAAAGCGUGUAGGCGGCCUUACAGGUCAGCUGUGAAAACUCGAGGCUCAACCUCGAGACGUCGGUUGAAACCGUAUGGCUAGAGUCCGGAAGAGGAGAGUGGAAUUCCCGGUGUAGCGGUGAAAUGCGCAGAUAUCGGGAAGAACACCCGUGGCGAAGGCGGCUCUCUGGGACGGUACUGACGCUGAGACGCGAAAGCGUGGGGAGCGAACAGG
RNAcentral lists this ribosomal RNA (253 nucleotides) under uncultured bacterium. Its description in RNAcentral is "partial 16S ribosomal RNA". It matches the Rfam family "Bacterial small subunit ribosomal RNA", at positions 524 to 776 of the family's 1533-position model. The record is from RNAcentral.